Molecule: ribosomal RNA, 446 nt
Filed under: Salmonella enterica subsp. enterica serovar Infantis
Lineage: Bacteria; Pseudomonadati; Pseudomonadota; Gammaproteobacteria; Enterobacterales; Enterobacteriaceae
Also listed under: 2 other names
Description: partial 16S ribosomal RNA
Rfam family: Bacterial small subunit ribosomal RNA
Source: RNAcentral
AAAUUGAAGAGUUUGAUCAUGGCUCAGAUUGAACGCUGGCGGCAGGCCUAACACAUGCAAGUCGAACGGUAACAGGAAGCAGCUUGCUGCUUCGCUGACGAGUGGCGGACGGGUGAGUAAUGUCUGGGAAACUGCCUGAUGGAGGGGGAUAACUACUGGAAACGGUGGCUAAUACCGCAUAACGUCGCAAGACCAAAGAGGGGGACCUUCGGGCCUCUUGCCAUCAGAUGUGCCCAGAUGGGAUUAGCUUGUUGGUGAGGUAACGGCUCACCAAGGCGACGAUCCCUAGCUGGUCUGAGAGGAUGACCAGCCACACUGGAACUGAGACACGGUCCAGACUCCUACGGGAGGCAGCAGUGGGGAAUAUUGCACAAUGGGCGCAAGCCUGAUGCAGCCAUGCCGCGUGUAUGAAGAAGGCCUUCGGGUUGUAAAGUACUUUCAGCGGG